RNAcentral lists this unclassified non-coding RNA (266 nucleotides) under uncultured Talaromyces. Its description in RNAcentral is "sequence contains ITS2". The record is from RNAcentral. Lineage: Eukaryota; Fungi; Ascomycota; Eurotiomycetes; Eurotiales; Trichocomaceae.
AACGCACAUUGCGCCCCCUGGCAUUCCGGGGGGCAUGCCUGUCCGAGCGUCAUUUCUGCCCUCCAGCGCGGCUGGGUGUUGGGCGCUGUCCCCCCGGGGACACGCCCCAAAGGCAGUGGCGGCGCCGCAUCGGGUCCUCGAGCGUAUGGGGCUCUGUCACCCGCUCGGGAGGGACUCGUCGGCGCUGGUCUUCCCCCAGGCGACCCUUCGGGGCUCGUCUUCUUCCGGUUGACCUCGGAUCAGGUAGGGUUACCCGCUGAACUUAA